UGGACAAUGGGCGCAAGCCUGAUCCAGCCAUGCCGCGUGAGUGAUGAAGGCCCUAGGGUUGUAAAGCUCUUUUGUGCGGGAAGAUAAUGACGUACCGCAAGAAUAAGCCCCGGCUAACUUCGUGCCAGCAGCCGCGGUAAUUA
RNAcentral lists this ribosomal RNA (143 nucleotides) under uncultured Nitrobacter sp. RNAcentral's name for it is "partial 16S ribosomal RNA". It matches the Rfam family "Bacterial small subunit ribosomal RNA", at positions 365 to 525 of the family's 1533-position model. The record is from RNAcentral. Lineage: Bacteria; Pseudomonadati; Pseudomonadota; Alphaproteobacteria; Hyphomicrobiales; Nitrobacteraceae.